ACCAGCAAUAUUACAAUUACAUAUAUUAUUAUAUAUAUUACAAUUACAUAUAUUACGUAUAUUAUAGUGUUCAUCUAUUACAUCUACAUUGUCUAUUAUUUCCAAUUCUACUAAUAAUUCUCAAAAUAAUACUGAACUUUCAAAACACUAUUCCUUUCUCCCCUUUCGUUCACGAAUUAACCAUCUAUUACUUCCAAUUCUACGAAUAAUACUCUAGGUGAACUCAGGAAAUAUUACACACCGAAUCUUCGAUACAAUUUAUAAUAAUUUCCAAUCCAUUUUUUUUUGUACAUAAAUAAAUCUUCUGUUACAUCAACAAUAACAAUUCUAUUAACUCAAUUUUGUGGAUAUACAUAUAGAUUAUAUUUUCAAUGCUAUUGAAUUUUCAUCCCUUUCUGUCGUAUACAAAUUAAUCGUCCGUUAUUUCGAAUUCUACAAACAAUACCAUAAAUCAAUGCAGACAAUAUUAUAAACCAAAUUGACGCAAUGAUUCUACUGUUACUGCGACCAUUUUAAAAUAAAUCUAUACGAAAGAAAAUAUUAUAAAUCGAAUUUCCAAUGCAAUUGGAUUUCCGACACGUUGUUUAAAUGCCGAAAUUAAUCGUUCAUCGCUUCCUUUAAUUCCAUAAGGUAAUCGAAGCAACGCACAGUGCGGCAUACAGUGGAUAAAAAUCGAAAUAAUCAUUGUUUCAUCUUAAUCUUAUUACUCGAUGAUAUCAUCAGUCUUUAAAUAAUGUAAAUGUAAACAAUAAUUGUCACAAAAAUUUAAUUUAUCCAAUUUAAAAAAUUCUUUCCUUCUUUGAAGAUCUAUUUUAGAAAGAAACGAUUCAAGCCAUCCUGUAAUUUUGAUUAUUCUAUUCCAAGUAGGUUUUGUAUUACAUUGUCAUAUAAUUUUCUUGCUACGAACUGUUACACUGAAUCUUCUUCAUUUUUUUUUUGGUGAAAUCCAUUCGUAAUUGCGACUUGGUUGAAGAGUGGAUUUCUGACCACGCUUAAUCCAAGAACAUUUUUAAAACUACGCAAAACUUCUGUUCUUUACUCUGUUUCGAAUGUCAGCACAAUAUUCGACGGAACGAAAGGGAAGAUAAAUAAUUUUCGCAUAGCACCUACGAAAAAAUGGAAAGAUUGUUUCCGGCAUCGGCACUAUUUACUUAAACGUCACCGUGCGUGGUUAGACAAAGAAAUAAGUAUUCGCGACAUUUCAAGUAAACCAGACAGUAGGGAAAAUACAAAGAUUUGAUAAACAGAUUUUUAUUCAUGUCGCAUCUCCUGUUAUCAGGUUUCAGGAAAGCUGUACAUUAAAUGCAUUUUUUAUCUUUGUUCCGAAUUUUCAUUCAAAUGCCGUACUGUGGAACGUGACAAUGUGGACAAAUUGUCCAGACAACGUGAAUGUGGCAAACGUCGCCUGCAAACGUACAAAUGUAGCCUACACCUGAUCUGCGAACGUGAACGACGAACGUGAACUACGAACAUGAACUACGAACGUGAGCUACGAACAUGCGGGCCUGCGAACGUAGCCAGUGAAUUUUGAUUUUUGUGCCGAACCCUCAUUCAAAUGCCGCAUUGUGCAACGUGACAAUUAACUAACAGUUGAAGUGGAUUAAAAAAAAAAGAGUCACUGUACCAUAUGAAAGAGCUCGUUCUUGCACAUAUACAUACGUCAUACAGCACGAUCGAUCCUUGUGCUCAUUCUUGUGCAGAUGCAAAGUGUCGUGAAAGCGCGUUUCGAGAAAAGGUAAAAUGCAAUUACCCCAGGCCACGAUAUCUCACUGGCGGCUCUCCGUGAGGCAAUAUCUCGAUAAAGCCUCGAAAGCAAUUGCUAGUGUUCUUCCUGCGGCCUGGGAAAAGAAUCGAAAGCUCGGAUCGUGGAAACAUCGCUCAACAGAAUGGCUUGCGCGGGAUAGAAACGAAAAACAACAGGCAGAAAACGUGGAAAACGUUUCCCGGGGCAUGCAAUCUGCAAUUUCUCAUUAAUAUCAAUCACGUCAAAUCUAGAAUUAAUGCGAUUUCAAUCGUUCGCUAUUAAUUUUGAUUUUGAAAUAAUUUCACUCUCACUUUAUUUUUAUCGGUUCAAUAUCGUUUUCAUCAGUUUUCUAUGCUUAUCUCUUCGCUAUUUUGCACUUGUUGGCAAUUUUAAUUAUUUGGUGUUGUAAAUAUACAUGUAAUUAAUUAUUUGAUCAAGUACUUUAGUCUGAUUAACGCUAUUGUUCAAUCGUUUGCUUCUUUUUUCUCCUGUUUAUCUUUCUCUCAUUUCUGAAGGAUUUAUUGAUAGUUCUAUAGACUUGCUUUAUUAAACUAAUCAUCUUUUAAUCGUUCUCUGAAUCAUUUUCGAUCGAAUCAUAUUUUUCUAGCGUUCGAAAAAUUUCUUAAAUUUGAGGAACAUGUAAAAAAAUCAUUACUGCGUGAUCUGCAUGAUCUCUUGUCUCAAUUAUAUAUAUCGAUGUUUUCCCCAAAACAUUAAACUUCUUUUCUCCAGUGAAAUUAAGAUAAGAUUGAAACGUAAAAAGUUUGAGGAACGCAGCGGAAUUAAUUAAGAUUAGAAUUAAUAAUUCGAUUUCGAUUAACAUCUUUUCUUAUCUCUUUGCUUUUCUUCUUCUCUCGUCUGUUUCAGUUUUGUUUUUUAGGGGGUUGUCGGUAAUUUUAAACAUCUGAGUUUGAUGAUUACCGAGGGUGGCAGAACACGUUUGCUCCGAGAUGCCAUUAAGGUUUUAGCGUACAAUUUCGUGCAUUUUAAUGAGCAAUAAAGUUCCCUGGUUAAACAAAAGCUCCAUAAACGACCGUUAAUUUGAUUUCUAGCUGCAACAAUUUUACCCAUCGUUGAACGCGAUUCUUCGUUCCCAGUUUGAGUUUGCAAGUUCGAAUUGCUAAUUAAAAGGUGUAUCGCGAAGUUUAUGGCUUAGCUAUGAGUCAAUCAACUAGUUUUCUUCGCGAAGUUACCUUCGAGAAACAACGCAGAUUCUUGCCAUUCGUUUAUUUACAAACAAUAUAAUUCGACAUCUAUUUUUAGUAUAUAUAACAAGAAUUUUGUUUGCUUAUGAGAAGAAAAAUUAGAAUGAAUUGCAGCUUUUUAUUUGAACAUUUUAUUUAAACAUUUUGAAUUUCUAACAUUAUUCAAAAUAAUGUUAAUUUCAUUUUAUCGCUAACAUAAUUUGAGUGCAGUUUUUAAUUACUGUAAACUAGUCUUCAAAAAGUGCUCACCCAUUUCAAAGCUUAUUGGGUAACGUUGCAAAAGUAGCGGGAUAUAAUAAACAGACCGCGGAUUAUUAUGUUUUUGCAAGGAAAUGUACGAGACUGUGCAGAGUAUACAUGAUAUUUAAAAAGGUAUAAAAUUCCUAACGUAAAGUUCUCGUUAUAACAUCUAAAGUGAAACAGACCCUUACUCAGGUUUCACUUCUUCAGUGUUCAUGCAAAUAUAAAUUUGCAUAACAAUCCACCGUUUAAUAAUGCAAUUACUUUCUUAAUAAUAAAAUUAGUAACUAACAAUUAUUAUAGAUAAAUCAUUUCAUAAAUGAAUCAAUGGUAUAUCGAUGAAAUACGAUAGUGAAGUAAUAAAUAGAAGUCAAAUUUUCAAAAUCAAAAAGUUACUUUCUAUGUAACUUUCAAACAGCACAAUAUUAAAGAGAAUCAAAAGAUCUAUAAAAAUAUUACGCUCGAUUAUGUAUGUACACGAUUUCCCAUCGAUUCUCGCGAGUUUAACGCGAAAACCUCCUAAAUACGACCGUACCACGAAUAAUAUGUAAAAUCCUCAUCAUAUCCACGCUAUGCUAUUGCGAGACUUGUUUACACGGUAUAAACCUCUGGUAAAUCGAGUGACACGCACAUGAGCACAAUGUAUAAUAACAUGUAUAAUCACGAUAUUCCUCGGCCACUGUGAUAACAUUACGGCGGUUACGUUAUAUCUCUACGUUCCUACGUUUCGAUAUGAAUAAUAACACUUCGAGAACUACCGAAAAGAAAUUUCAUCGGUCACGAGAAUUAGCUAAGAUAAAUAUGUUUAAAACACAACUGUCAUCACGCUGAUCGGUCAAAACGAGCGACAAAGUUUAGUAACUUUGAUCAUAUUGAUAGCAUGUACUUUAAUCAAGAUUGUCAAUAUCAAUCAAGAAGUAAAUAUAAAGAUAAGAAAUGAUAGUUCUAUUUUUGUUUGAGUUUCAUUUUUGAAAGAAAAACAUAACUGAAUACAUUGCAAUUGUAAGGAGACAAUUUGAGUUUCCAGCAAUUUAAAUAGAAAACUUUGUUUUCUUCCAAACGUACUAUAAAUUUAUAGUUACGUAUAUCGGUGGUAAACACUUCUGUUGAAUUUGGAACAUACGCCUCUUUUUCAUUUCCGAUAAAUACAGUUUCAGUUUGUAUUUAAAUUGGAGUUUAAGUUUGAGCUUCAAAAUUGGAUGCAACAAUGAAAGACGCUUUUUUUCAUUUUCCAAGAAACUUUCCGAACGAUAUCAUGCACGUUUUUUUAAUCGAACCGUAUGUGUAUCUUCCCCUGUGUUCUCAUAAAACAAAAAAUUAUAUAAAGUCAACAAACAUAAUAACCAUCAACGUCAAUGUGUACAAAAUGUAGCUGCUUCCUUCCCUGCUAUUGCAAUUUCUUUAGUUGUUAAGUAAAAAAAAAAAAUCGUAGCCAGUUUGUACAAGGAUAAAUGUCUUUCAUAACAAAAGCUAAUAAAAUCGCAAACAGCUUGAUGAAAAGCUCCAUUGUGUCCUAAGAAAACAUUUACGACCGCGAUUCCCGUGUACGAAUUUUAUGAUUGUUUCUCAUGCGUCCAUUUCGCGAAUAUUCGUCGCAAAUCGUGAGUCGUACGUUCGUGGGCUGCUUUGAGGAAAAGCAGCAUAAAUUUUCUAGCUUUCGACAAAGCAACUCAACCAGACGAUAAAUAGACUGCUUAAUUCUUAUUCAUACAAGUUGUUAAAGUCAUUGUUUCGUACGAAACACCCUUAGUAUCCAUCAUUCCGGAAGUAGAUGCUCGCUUUUACGCUAUCGUUUUAAUUUUAGUCUCUAAAUUAUACGUUUAAGUAAAAGAUGCAUGAAAAGUGAACGCUGCAGCUGUAUAUUUUCCAUGUGAAAACCGAAGGUAAUUGCGAUUCAUUGUUGCUAUCUAAUCGAACAUCUUACCUACAAUGUACACUAUGAAAAUUGAAGCCAUAUUUCGAUUAAUUUUAUUAGGUCACUUUAUAAGUAACGCAAUUUUUCCGGUGACUGGAGGUCAAUGAAACUCGUCACGAUAAAAGUUUUACAGCGGAAUAGAUGUUAUAGUCAUAUAGUUCCACGCAAUAUAUGUAUAUUAUGUAUGUACAUAUAAAUUCUUCGUUAUUUUGACCCAGAAAAUAUUCAAAUAAAGCAAGUGUAAAUUUUAUUCUUUAUUCUUUACUCAUUUUACAACGUUUCGUAAUCCCGCUACGGCUCUUGAACUUCUCUAUAUUCCAAUUUUGCUCUCGUUUAAUCAAGAAUACUUUUAAUCCCUUAAGGGAAAAUUUAAUACAAGAUUAAAUUGAGUAAGAAACGACGCAGAGCACAAAAUAACACAAAUAGCAAUGCUAUAUUAAUCAACUAAUCUAAACUCUGUCUGUAACGCUAGUUAGAAAUAAAUUACCAUCCUCCUAUCGGUAAUUAAACUUUUAUCCGAUAGCCGUCUGUUACAUAAUGAGCUCGUGCUAUCGUUAAUGAUCUCGAACGACGUAUCAGCCAACGAUAAUAGAACGAACAGCCGACCAACAACUACAAACGAAUUCCACCUUGCCCGACGCCUUUCGUUCUUUGUAAUAAUAAAGAAAAGCAUGCAUAUGCUUUUGACAAAAUUAAUAUUGAGACAAAAAGACGAUUAUUUGUAUAUACCUAUAUCUAUUUACAACAUAUCGUUUGAAUUUGUAUAAUUUAUAUCUGUUAAAAUCUUUAAGUAUAUGUUAGAAAGCGACAGGUGUAAUCUCAAAUAAUGAGAUUAAUUACUAAGAAAUUGAGCGCAAUUUGAAGGCAGGAGUCGUUAGAAAAGCCAACAAACAAAGGAAGUCGCGGAGAAACGCGAGCCGAAGAAACGUGAAACGUAAAGUGAGCCAUCGAGAACAUGGCAAAAGAUCGAAAAUAACGUGAUUAUAACGCAAUGGCAACGGAAAUUAAAAGCUACGUCGCGGGAGAAUAAAAGCACCAAGAACAACGAAAUAACAGGCGAAAGAAAGAAUUUCGCGGUCGUUGUACUUACGAGAUAGAGGAAGCCCCAUUGACUUUAAUAGCUCGAACGUUUCGCAAGAACGUUUUCCCUAGGGUACACCAACGAGAGACGAUCAUUCCGACUGGUCGAUGAAUUAAUAUUCGUGCAACGACGCCGAUAAGGGGAGGUGACCGACCUUUUAUAUUUACGACAGAUGCGCACGCAUCGGAAAACACGCAUUAUGCGUGUUUCGUUGGAUGAUGACCGAUAGAAAUCGUACGCGAGACCUUGAUCAUGAAUUUCGUCGACUGACUUAUUAAGAAUCGACAUUUUAUUUGCAACUUCUCGAUAAUUUACGUUACCAAGUUCUGCUUUUUUCGACGUUGUAAUUGAAAAACGAUGUUCAAUGACUGGAUUAAUAUAUUUUCCGUCAUUAUUUUGUCUAUCGAUUAGAUUCUACACUCUUAGCAAGUUUGGAGAGAUUGAAAUAUUUGUAGCAGCACGAUAAAACGCACUGCCUUUUUUCUUUAAGGCAUAGACAUUUUUCUUUUUGUAUAUUUCAUCUCUAUUAUCAAUAAAUCUGUGUUUAUGAUUCUAGAAAAUUGUCAACGCUUCAAUAAAACAAUAUAAGAUAAGAUAAACUCUCUGGAUAAUUUUACGUUUCCGCGCAAAAUGAAAUAAAAUGUAAUAAAAUAAUAAUCUUGGGUGAAGUAUUGUUGUUAUGUAACUGACUUAAUUCCGAUGAAUCGAGAGAUUAAUUGUAAAUGCGAACAAAUAGACGAAUGAUUUGCAUUUCAUAGCAAAUAAACUUGUUUCGUAAUUCGCGAAUCGAAAACAAGUAAACGCUCAACUUAUUUUCUCGCAUCUCAUUCAAAGUUCAGCCAAAUCGAAGAUGCAGUUUCGGAAGUUCGAGAUAAAUAUUGAUUUUAUCUCAAAAGUUUAAAGGAAGAAGCUAUCUUCUUUUUCUUUUUCAAAUAAAAAGAAUAUUGGCUUUCUCGCUGAUAAAUGUGUACACGUCAUUCCAACUACGAAAUCCGUGACCACAUUUGUUUUGCGUCGAUUGCCAAGAAGAGAAAACCUGUCCCGACCGAGAACCUACAGCGAACUCCAUUUUAGAAUUUAUGGAGUCGAAUUGUAAGACUGCAGAAUUCUGUUCGAGCGAAAUCCAAACCCUUGUAUUGUAAAUAGCAAGUCACUGGCAAAAAUGCAUCAACUCAGUCUUAUAAAUCUCGAUUAAUAAAUUUAUUUUGCCAAGAAGACAAUAUGCUUUCAUCGCGAUCUAGCGAAAUGGAAAUAAUUGGAAAAGUUAAAAAGCUUCAAUCUUCGUAUUUAUAUUUCAUCGUAAAUUGAAUAAAAUAUACUAACGUAUAUUAUCAAAAUUACUAAAAGAUAUUUCUCAACAACUAGUCCGUUAAAAACAAUCUACGGGCAAGAAUAAUUUCAAUUUCGUGUUAUAAUUCUAUUUUAAUUCAAACUUAAGAAACUUAAAUUAAAACCAAUGAAACCUGAAUCUUCGUAAGGUUGCUUCGUUAGAUUAAAUAAAAGAUGGAAAUUAUUCAAGAUAUUCCCAGCACGAUCAAAUGAUUCGAAAGAGAUUGCGAAUUUAUGUGAAACAGAUUUCAAUUAUAAUCUCAUUUUACCUGGAAAGUUAAGAGAUUUAAUUCGGUAUAAUUGUACUCGUAAGCUAAAUUUGUCGUAUUCCUACCCCAUUCAAACGUAAAUACGUCAUCGAAAAUAAGACGUAAAAGAAUAUUUUAUCAAAAUUACUCAAAGAUACUUUCAACGUAACCAAUCUGUUGAAAAUAGAUUGCAAAGGGGGAACAAUUUCGAUUUCGAUUUCGAUGUAAACGAACGUGACGACCGUAUUUACAUAUAAAUUAUGUUGGCAGUUUCUUGGCUGGAGGAACCUGGUCGACUUUUCUUUUUAUGAAUGUACUUUUGGCGUCAAGCAGUCGAGUCUGGUAUUCCACAGGCGGAAACAACGUCAAACGACACUGUCAAGCUUCAAGUCGUUCAAACUAUUGGUAUCGUAAUUUAUAACUUCGAAUUCCCAAUCGUUGGUAGAAAAAUAGUCGAACAAAAUUGGUCGACGCAGUUCGUUCUCCUGGCUGAGAAAUGGCAAGCAAUUAAAAUGCAAUUACGGUACAUUUGGCAACGGACAACGUCAAGAAUCUGUCCGUCGAUUGAGCUCGAGAACGCGUGCAACAACGCGGCUGUGAACUAUUAAUGGAAACAGAAAGACAAGCGGAGAACGCUUGUCCCUCUCUCACAAGCAACGAGUGGGGCGAUGUAAUUUCAGGGUCUGCGUCAAAAUUAAUCUUGCGAUUGAAUGGAACUGAUACCGUGUUGUUCGAGAAAAACGUUACUUUGAAUAACUAUUACUUGAAAUAAUAAACGAAGAAUAGAGAAACAAUAACAGAUAAGAAGCAUUGUGAUUUUUGAAUCGGAUUUUUUCAUAUUGAAGUUCUUUUCGUAAUAGAAAUAUAGAUGGAAUAGAAAAAUGAUUCUAAACAUAGGAACAUUGAAUUUCUCGAAUUGAAAAUCAUAGAAGAUACUCAAGGGAAAAGGAGAUACGUAAACACUGUUGUUACUGCCCCAUCUAUUUUCGUACACUCCAUUAGACAAGUUGUUUGUUCCUCUUGGCCCUCCAACUAUGAAUUAUAUGGGUAUUUGACGAACCACGGGGCAAGUAGACAAACCAAGAUCUGACUUUCAACCUUCCUACCACAAUAAAAUUGUUCUCUCUAAUAAUAUUGUAGGUAGAACAGAAAAGUGAGAAGCAUUGAAAAUUUGUCUCUAAAGUCGGAUAUCACCACGGUGGCAGUAUUAAAAAAUUUGUCUUCUGUUGACUUCUCUAUGACGACGGUAAAUAUAUCGCUUCGAUUAUGUGAUAGUGCCAUCAGAAAAAUAUACCGACCGCAAAGGGUUAAUAUUUCAAGGUGGGACUUAAAACAUUCCACUGUGCAUACGCAAGGUGUCUCGGUUGAAAUUACCUUGAUCUUUUUUUUUAUUAUUAUUUUUACCUUUCAUUAUUAUUAUUCGCAGCGAGAAAUAUUUGAAUGAAAGUGAAUGGUUUCGAAGGAUGCAUAUUCUGAUACUAUUAGCUUUUUUGUGCAUGGAUGCGUCAAGAAUUUAUGAAGAUCAACUUUGAUGUUUUAAAGAGAAUCACAUAUUUGUAAUUAUUAAUUUAUUAAAUCGUAUACUUUUUAAUGCACUAAUCGAUACAACUGGUCGAGAUAUUUAGGAGAUGUUUUAAAUUCAAUUUGUCAAAUUGAAUGUACAGUAGCGUGAAAAAGCUUUCGGAAGCUCUUUUCGUGUUACGAUAGAUAAAGAAAUACGCAUUGUAUGUACAUGAUAGAUCGUAAACUUUUUCAACGAUAACAUAUCUGCGAUAGAUUGUAACGUUUCGCCUUUUUUUCGACGAAAAAUUACUAAAGAACGAAUAUUGAUAUUCGUAUUUUCUACGCUUUCCGUCAUGUUGAGUAUACUUCCUAUUUUCACAAUAACAACCAUAAGAAUGAUUUACUUUAUACUUCCGCUGUAUAGUGGAGAAUGAGCCUGCAUCAAAAGUCAAAUAGAACCGAUUGUGACUUAUAGCCCAAUAUCAAGUCAUUUCCGGAAACUUUUCCACGUAGUUAGUAAAGAAUUAUUUGAUAUUUGAUAUUUUUCUUGAAAACUCUCGAGGAAUACAGUAUUUUUUAUGAUGAGACAUAUUUAAUGCUCAAUAAUUAACAGAAUCAUACAUGGAAACACCCUCUACAUAUCUACAUGCUUUUUAUUUCUUUAUUUCUCGUAGCAUAAAAGUAACAUAAAAAGAAGUUUCAGAAACUUUUCCAUACCACUGUAUGAAAGACAAGGACAAACGCGAAGCGAUAUUUUCAGUCAUAGAUUAAAUUUAACAAAUUCAAGUUAAUCUUCUAAUCUCCUAAUGGUUUUUCGUUGUAAAUAGGCUAAUAUUACCGUGUAGGAGAUGGACAUCUGCAUCGAUUAGUUCAUCACAAAAUGUACGAUUUCGUUUAAAACAUGAAAGUUGACCCUCAUACUUACUUAACGCGUUCACCCACAUAAAGCUAAUAACAUCAAAGUAUGCACCCCGCUAAACCAUUCGACUUUCGUUCAAACAUUUCCCACUGCAAAUAAUAAUAAUGAGAAAAAUCAAGGUGCUAAUUUCAGGUGAGACACCCUGUAUAAGUAGAUAAGAACAAGGCGGAACACUUUCUGCUCCACUAUGCACCAAAGAGUUAAACAAAGUUAAACAGCUGGACUUAGAAGUGUCGAGAGUCGUUAACGUCCACUGAAUCCAUUUCCUGAAUGUACAUUCCUGCAGUAUCCGGUAGUGCGGUCACGUAUAGGAGGCAUAAAGCUGCGUGGUUUUUAACAUCAGUGUCGAACAGAAUCUUGGGGCGUAUUAGAGGGCUGUUAAAGUGGGUCACUGUGCGGAACACGGUAUCUCCGAUGUGUAUCGUCGAUCGCUCGUUUACAGGCAUUUCCAAACGACUAUGCUUUGUGCAGUAAAACGUAGAUGGUGCGCACGCCCCGAUCUACGUACGUACGUAUACACGAUGGAACGUGUCGGAGAAAAAUGACCACAGGCUAGUGGAAUGGGACCAAAUUGAUUUUAUCAAAGGCCUCACUGCGUCACUGGGGCGCGUUCUUUUGCGUUCCGCUUGGUCCGAUGUUGUUGUGGUUACUGGUUUUAUUUGCGAAGGACAGAUCCUUCUGAGUAGCUCGUUACGUUGAUGGAAAUCGUGUGCGUGGUGCUGACGAAAAUGGCUCACGCUGAGACACAACGCCAUACCGAGAAACGGUGAGACGAGACGCCAUAGGAAAUUUUGUUCUCUGUGGGAUAGCUUGCAGGAGACUGUUCCUUGUAGCAUACGACGUUAUGAAAAAUUCUCACUUUAUUGCGAUAUGAAGAUUAUAUUAGAAAAACACGAUAAAUACAUUUUUGUUGGUUUUCUAACUUUUACCUUGGUCGAUUAAGAUAAGCAUCUCGGGUCAUUCUGUUGCCUUGUAGUUAUAAAUUAAUUAAUUAACUAGUUAAAAAAGAAACUUUAUUAAGAAGAGCACCUAAAAAUGGCUAGAACAGAGUUCUUUGAUAUGACGUAGUUGAGAAGGAGGUCAGUCUGUUAAAUCGGAAGCUUUUAAAAAUAGGUAAUAGAUUCAUGAAGUUUUGUGAAGAGAAAAAAAUCUGUGUGAUUAUGUAGUAUUAGGGCGAUCGAUAUUUCUGAAAUAUUUAAGAGACUGGCGAAAAUAUUUAACCUCAAAAUCGAAUAAAAAGACAGUCUUCAUAACGUGAUAUUGACUGAUCUCGUAUAUUGAAUUUUAAGAAUGGCACGUGUAACCUAUCGUAUUUCUUUGCUGCGACUUUCGUAUAAAUAUUACUGAAAAUUUUGCUCCUUGUAAAGUACGAUGCUAGCGAAAACUUUGUUCUGUAUAAAGAAAAAAAAUUCUUCAUAAAGCAUAUCGUUACUGAAAAUCUUGUGCUAGCAUCAUCGAAAGUAACUUUUAUGAGAUACGACGCCAUUAAAAAUUCUACCUACUUCUGUAAAAUAUAGGACCAUCGAAAACUACCUCCAUGGGAUACAACGCCAAUUCAACGAAAGUUGAUCCUCUAAGGAACACAACACCACUGAGGAUCUCUCCCCUAGGACAGGAAGUCGUCAAAAAUUUAGUUUCUCGUAAAACACACCGCCAUCCAAAAUCGCGCACACGCAGUAUCGUUUGAAAAUGAUACAAAGAAGAUACGAAGAAACGAAAGAAAACUUUCUAUAAUUAUAGUGCUCGCCAAGAGCCAACUAGAUAGCCCACGUGUUGCACAUGUAAUGUAACGCUGUUAAUCUUAUCAGUCCUCCUACAACUACUUCUACGAUCGUUUGUUUUCCAACAACUUCUAGUUGACGACCUAACACGACCGUGCAAUUAGCGUGUAGAAGAUGAGGAAAACAACAGAUGCAGGCGCUUCGUCCAAGCAAGCCUCGAGGAAGUUGCAACGUUUUUCCUCCAUCCAACGAUACCGUUACCUUCUCUUGGCUAGAUCCAACUCAAUCGGUAUACUCUUCCGAGGCGACGUGAAAUGCUAAUGUUCACACCGACGAACAAGACGAAGAGGUUCAAUUAAUUCCAAAGCAAACAGCCGCGCCUCAUUAUGCUGCUCGCUUUUCAAGACGUUUCCACGACCAGAGGACAACCUCUUGUCAGAAAUCUACAAUCACUUUCCUAAUUGCAGCUACAUUAAAUAUCCUAUUACUCCCCAAUUUUGUUAUUAAUAGAAAAUUAAUUCUGAAGAUAUCGAAAGCAGUUACCUGUACGUUUUAAUGGAAUUAAUUUAUCAAAGAAUCCUUUAAAGCUAUAGAAUUUUAUCAGCAGAAUAUUUCAGGUAUCGAGAGUUAACAUUUUUUUUACAUGCUUGAGUUCAAUGGAAGACUCAAUUUUUUUCAAAUUGGUAGCGUAUGUACAUGUUAUGGGCAAAAUACGAAAUUUAGCUCAACUGUGUAAUCCCUUCAAGCGAUAUUUUUUAAACUUCAACGUAGUGAAAUUUCAAUCGUAAAUAUCUUGGAAAAUAUUGGAUAUCUAACUGUAUAGCAGAACGUUUUUAGAAACGAAACGACGAAAUCUUUACCAAUGUGCAAUGUUUCAACUUGCUAUCUAAAUCUUGGAAUAUCCUUGACACGAAGAUUUUGCGCUCUUCUUAUUACAGCCGUUUUUUCCGAAGUAUUCCGUGACAGAAAACGAGCCAUCGUCGUUUAACCCAUGACAAUAGCGAAAAAAGAAGACCAGUGCAAUAAGGACCGUCUGCGUACUCGUAACACGUGUUACGCAAUUUUUGCUCAUUGUCGGAAUAGAAAUAAAACUGCCAACGAGAUACAGCUGAAUCGAACCGGGUCUUAUCAUCGUUGCUAUUUCCAGCUCUCUCUAGAUUGCCAUUUAUUUCACAGAACGUUUACAAAACUACAUCGAUUUAUGUGAAACGACGCGGAAACCAGCUUUAUCACCUUGUAUGCCUUUGUACGUUUUGAAAUAUCGCGAAAAGUUGCACAAACUAUCGUGCACUCGUGCAGGACACACAGAUAACCCGUUCCGAAGCAACAUUGAAACACCACGGGGGACUUUCGAUGGAAAACGUCGACGCGAAUCUUCGAAAGUUGAUAAUGCUUCAUCCGUGAAAGUGUAACCCCUCAACGAUGGUGUAAACCUUUAUGAAACUUGCGAAACAAUGUGUAUUAAGAAAUCUCUAAGAUUUACGAUACUUCGGUUUCGAAGUAAAUACCGAAACUAAUACCGAGAGAAGUUGUGAUUUACUAUUUUAAGCUGAGUUAUUAAGCUCAUUCAAACCCUGAAUUUAUAAUCCACAGAUCAUUCCAGUGACUCAUGAAAGGUUGGAAAGUCACUUUUGAACCGAUCGCUGCUAUUAUUUUUAGUAUUAUUUAUUUUGUAAGCAGCAAUUUCGUAUGGCGGAGAAACGACUGGAGCUUUCAGCGUUUGACAGAAAAGAAGCUAAAAGUAGGAAUAACAAGGUUACAGAUUAAAUUAUUGUGGAGAAUACGUAAAACGGAUUGUUUAGGGAUUAUCAAUCGCAAUGAAUCGAGACUUCAAGAAAGUUAGAGGAGAUACGCACGAUAAAUCAAUUUAAAACGAUUCAGGGGAAAAGGGGAGCGUUUAAACAAUCGGUGAUCUGUUCUUCGGGGAGCGAAAGGAACAAAUAAUUAAUUAGGUCGAUUUCCGUGACGUUCGUAAUUAAGGUUGUGCCGCCUGUGAUGGUUUCGAGUCGAUCGGCGAGCUGGCUUAUCGACGACGUUCAAGUUUAUCUGAGUGCAAUAAUUAUCAACGAAGAAUUAUCUCUGUCAGCAAUUAGCAACAUUGUGUUGUGUUAAGCAAGCUUGUGGCCGCGAGUGUCGUCAGUGAAGUUUGCAAAUAACUUCCGAUGGCUUUGAAUUCUCUGCGUAAUCGCUCAAUCCUCUGCAAUCCCAAGUAACUUUAAAAUUAUACGCAUAUCUAUACGUACAUAAAUAUUUUUCUAUUAUUCUAUUAACGUACUUUUAUAUCGAUAAAUAUAAAUUCUUCGUGAAUUUGAUCAAACAUAAUCUCUUGACCCGCAUUACAAAGUGCAAAGCAGUGGAUGUGUUUUCAAUGUCUGUUCGAUUUUCCCAUCUACUUUUUGUAUCUAUAUAGUUCUUUAACAGUUAUCUUAAAGUCAGUCUUCUAUAAUGUUCAUCCACAGCAACGAUCCUUUAAUUGCUUUUAAACGAUGUAUUUAGAAGUGCAACGUCCGAAAUCCGUCCUAAGUCGAUAGUCGUGAAUUGAGUAUAAUAAAUAAAAAUAAAUAAUAACAAUGUAUUUAGACGAUAGUAAAAUAAUAACUAACACAAAUUUUACUUUCCUAUUUUCAAUUGCUAUACAUCCUGUAACUGAUAACCAAGUAUAUGUGUACAGUGUGUACAGCUAUUUAUCUAGAAACGUGUAAAUAUCUUGAAAAUUAUAGAAGAUACGGAAAAAUAUCUGAAACAAAUUACCUACAAUGUCAACAGAGACAUGCCGUACCGAUAUGUAUUUUAUCUUGCGAUGACCUUGGAAAGAUUACGUUUAUAUUUUCAAGUGACAAUUUAUAUAUUUUUAUUCCAUGUUCCUGUAACUGACAGAGAAACGUUUUCAAAGCACUAUUCGUAUCAUCCGCGCAAACCACUAUGAGGAUAUUAAAUUUCAAAUUUGAUAUGCCGCCGGCAUUGGCGUUAUCCAAUGUACACCGCGGGGAGGUUGCUCGGUCGGACUUUGUACAUCAUGGUGGCUCUAAAAAGAGCCGAUUAUUUAUGUACGUGUGUUUAUACUAAAUACUAUCUCUAAAUAUUACCUCUAAAUACUACGUCUAAAUACUGCCUCUAAAACAACCAGUCGUUUUACCUUCUACGUUUUCAGUAUUAUAGUUUCAGCAUUAAAAAGGCUACAACUUUCCAGAAGACUACAACAUUCUGAAGAAUUUAUAUCUCGAUAGUGGCUUAUGCGACAGAUGCAAGAAAUAUAUAAGCAAUGUUUUGAAAAUAUUCUGAUAGAGAAGAAUAGAAAAUAAGAAAAUAUAGUUUCCAUCUGAAAGUAUAAACAUGACAUCUAUAAGGUUCGUUGCAAAAUGAAAUGUAUGUAGAUAUGACGUGUCCUCCUUGACAUCGUACAACAUUCGUUUCAAACAAUUUUCCGUAUCGCCCAUAAUUUCAGGCACAUUUACACGUUCCCAGAUAAAUUGAACACACUGUAUAUAACAAUUAUUGGUAGAAAUUGUACAUAUCCAGGUAUACAGUUAUUCAUUCAAUUCAGUUAUAUAUAUAUAAUACAGUUAAAUGUAAUACAAUUAACGGAACAUACAAAUCGUAAAUAAGAACAAUACCUGUAACAAACAAAUAAUCAGAGUAAAAGUGAAAUUUUUCGAAGGUAGAAAUAAAGACGGACGAACAAUAAAAUUAAUUUUAUAAACAUGGCUUCAUGACACGACAUUCCGAGAUACCAUCGAUGGAUCGAUCGACCCGGACACACCGAUUCGUUAAGUAGCAUGCACUACUUGUACCUGUUUUUCUUGACCGGUGUUCGCAUUGCGUAAGUAAUUUAUGAACCAUCGAGAAAAGGAAAAACAUACUGCGCUGGCCUUUCCAACGAUGAUAAACAACAACCUAAAUCCGAAAACGCAACGAUCGAUAGAAUGUUUUAGUGUGUUUGCACCGCGUAGGCCAAUUAUAACUCACGAUAGUGAAUAUACACGGUAUGGCUCACAGUGAAGGAUAGGCAUAAAUUAAUCCAGACUAUACUGAAUCUCCUUUGACUCAAUAAUAGCAAAUGAAAGCUAAUAAGCAAAAUAAGCUUCGUAUAAUAUAAAGACUACGAGGGAAAUAUAUGAAAAUAUCACAUCUUUUGCCUUUUAUAGAAACUUUCAAAUUCAAUACACCGUCAACUAUUGUCCCAUAUUGUCUAAAUUGCUUUUUCAUUUGAUUUAAGGAUCACAUGUACGUCAAUCUAUUCUUCAACAGUUUAAAAAUACCGAUUAUUAUAACGUUAUUUCGUGAAUCUUACAUGAAACUUUUUGGAUUUGCCAGUCAUUUUAAAAAUGUAUUACAUUUUUAUGUAUAUAUAUGCAUUAAAUUCUUUUCUCCACUAAUGUAAGUCAUGUUAAAAUUCUGCCUUUCGAUCACCAAAUAUCUGACACAAACAUCCGACGAUUAGUAAACAUAGCAACAUUUCCAACGAAUCUAACAACUAAAACGAAUGUUUCUUAUUAUCGUGUGAACGAAGAAGCGAUUCAAGGCCUGGCCUGUAUCUAGCAUAAAUUUUAGCCUCUGGCCUUUUAAUCAAAUCGGUCACAACAAAACAGGCCACCUGAAUGAAACUCGAUUGCGAGCGGAUAAUAUGAGGAAUCAGGACUAGUGCUUAGAUUGGCAAACCCGUCGAAAGCGAUGUCAAGGAACUUUUGCCACUGGACGUCGGUCAAUCGAUAGUGCUUUUUGCAUGCAUGUCGGCCAGCUGGCAGGCUGAGGAAAGCGUAAAUGCACACACUGUUACAUAAGUGUAUCCGGUGUACGAAGAGCAGGCGACCUUGGAAUAUCAAAUGCUGGAAACGUACAAUGAACACGUAAACGCGACGGAUUCGCGAGCCACGCUUCUCCUCGAGGAUAAAUUAUUCGCCACAGCGCAAGGUUACCAGGAAACGACGGACGACGAUAACGGUGCGUGAAAGGAAAUUAAGUAAUUUAUGUUUGACGCAAUAAUGAUAAACAACGUUCGACAACAGAAUUGAGAAGACACUUCUUGGGAGUGUGACGCUUUGAAACAGGACACUCAGUGAAGGAGUGUUACGAGUACAAUAUUUUUCGUCAAGAACGAGCGAUACGAUACCAACAGUUCCCGCCACAGUGUCCAUCGGAGCAUGUGAGUAACGCGAACCGUCGAACGCGUCCGAUGCAUCCACCGAAUUCGAGAUUCAUCGCGGAAUGAGAAAAGUCGCGAUAACGUUGCAUCAUGGUGACUGGUAGGUACGCAUUUUCAUGCAAAUUCAUAUUUUUCAGAGUAUAAUUAAAAGAUGGAACCUGUGAUUUGAAUAUUUUAUAUAUAUUUUUUUUAUAUAUUCUCUCGUAUUGCUUGCAUUCUGUGCGAUUUUAUACUUUCAAAUUUCCUGCAAACGAAUGAAAAGCCGCGGUCUACUGAUUAAAAUCGAUUACACGAUUGUAUUGAAUUCUUUACAUCGUUCGAUUUGCCUGGGUGUCGUCUGUCGCAAUGUCUGUGUAUAUAACGGCGGGAGACGAACGGUACUUUGUGAACGAAGCUUAAUACCUGUCACGUCGUAACGCGUAAAAACGCGGGAAAAUUCAAUAUUUCGAUAAAAUUUGAUGGAAUAAAGUUAUGUAUAUUUAUACUAUGUAAAAAGAUUCAUUCGUGAAAUGAUUAGAAUAUUUAGUUAUUUAUAGUGAUUAUAUGAGGAUAUUUAAUCUUAGAAAAAUAACGAUUGCAUAAUAACUCUUUAAACGCUAUCUUUUUAUAUAUGUAUUUUAGAAACGAUAUAUGAAGCGUCGUUUGCCAAAAUGGAAAGCUUGUCUUUCGUAUGAAUAUUUCCUACUAAAUUGAAGGAAGAAUAAUAAAGAUCGAAAAUUGUCACUUAUUUAUUAAUCCUCUUUUGCCAUUCAUCGAAAGACGUUCGAAUGAAAAAAUGCAUAGAUCGAAAUUGCAUAUAAAUAUGCAAUUACAAUCGUAGAAGAAGAAACAAACUUUGUCAUUCGCAUCAUGUAGGCGUUCAAGGUGACACUUUGUGAUUGUACGAUGAAUGUUCUAAUACAUACGUUUUACAAUACAUUAAACAAUGUUUUUUAAUGCGGCUAGAUUUGUGUCAACAUUAUACACUACCUAUUAUAGGGAACUUGGUGACUUUUUAAAAUCUACAGAAACGAUAAGAAGUUACGCAACAAGGAAUAUUAUAUGUGUUGAUGUAUGUACAUAUAUUUUUUUAAUUAAUAUUCUAUUCACUAUCUUUAUCGUUUAAACGUUAGUCGUUAAUAUUAAUAUUUCAAGUGGUCUUCCUAUGCUAACGAAUGCAAUUCUUACUAGAACUAUACCGACCAUACUUUUCUGUACAAUUUCAAAUUAAUAAAAAAUAAUAAGAACGAAAUACGAAUAACCGAUAGAACUCGAAUAGCAGAUAAAACGGAUAUAUUUCAAAUUAACGUGUAAUGAAACAUUCCUUCGUCGUAAACGUUAAUUGACUUUAACCGUUUUACCAGCGUUUUAACCGUUUCAUGCUUCCUAAUAAAAUCUUGAAAAACGAAUACCUACGCUUCUACUCUUCGCGUACACGGAAUACAAAAGCAUAGAAAUUCACGCGAUAAAAGAAACUCGAGUAAAGAGCAAAGUAUGUGCAAAUACCUUCGAGUUAUUUCGAUCAAAGAUUCCAUUCUACUACGAGAGCCGACUUUAGCUGUUCUACUCGUACUCUACUACUACUUUACAUUUUAUCAAAAAAAAAAAUUCAAUCGAAACCGUAUGGAAAAAAUGCUGUGCUGACACUAGUUUACUAAAAACUAAUUUACCAGGAAUUUUUCGAAAAAAACAAGUUUUACCAGUAACUGCUGAUUUUUCAAAUAGAAAGACAGUUUAUUAAAAACCAAUUCGAAUUUAUGCAAAUUAAAAGAAAAAAAAAGGAACAUAAUCAGGAAUUAAUUUACCAGAUUUCAAAUAAUGCAAAUAAAAGAUUUCUCAAAAAAGAUGUAUCGGAGAAAGAAAUAUAUCAGAACUUAAUGUAGCAAAAUUGUAGUAGGCAAAUCCUGUGUCUAAAGACGAGAUAAGGAAAAAUUUAGAAAAUACAAGUGUUUAUAAAAUAGGUGAGGCUUAAGUAUAGAGGAAGAGAAAGAACUUAAAAUAGAGAGUGAGGGAUUUGUACGCGAUACGCAUCCGGUUCCUCCCACAUUUCCGUUUCACGAGAUAACAGUCAAUUCGGCUUUCAAUCUAUUUCGAUGUGAACGUCUCCUUUGGAGAAUAUGUUUUGAUUGAAUCGAAUCCGGGUGAAAAAAAAUAACGAGUCAGAUUGUCGGCUUAUUUAUCACGAAGUCGCUAUUAAUACGGAUUCUAUAAUGCAUACAGUCCGCUUUCACCGUUAUUAAAAUGGAAAUAUUUAUCUAACUUUAUUUAUCUGAUCGAAUCGCCGUAUAAAUUCAGUUAAAUUUGAAAUGCGAGAAUUUAAAGUUCCCGUUGAAGCAGACCUGCAUCGAUUUCUUUUAGCUUCGCUUGGAAUCUUUUUAUGUUUUCAUUAUUACGCAAACAAACAAUCCUUUUCUUUUAAAAUAAACAACCGUAUAACUUUCUGCUAUUUUUAUUUUUUAUAAAAAAUACCGGAAUACUUUCGAUUUAAUUGUUCUUAAAUAUCUUUUUAUGGUUGAAAGAAAAUAUAAAAAGGAAAUUUUUAAUAUCAAAAUAUAGGCAAAGAUGAAAAUAUUACAAAUAUAAGUGAAAAAUGUGCUAAAUGAAAAAUUUACCCCGCAAACAAAAAUAUAUACAAAUUUUGUCGUUUCCCUAAAACAACAAAGAAUACGUAAGUAAACGGCGAAGAUAUAUAAACGCCAACGAAAUUUAUAAGAAACAUGUUUGCACAAAGGCAGAUGAUGCCUUUCCAAAAAAGGACUAUUACCAACGUUAGUACGCGUAAACGAAUCGAGAGAAAGGCUUUUGAGAAAUUUGAAAACUCACACGGGGGAUCUCUAUCGAAGGAGGAAGGAACGAACACGUCCAAUUCACUUUACUCACCGAAACGCUUGCAAAUUUAAUGUAAGCUUCAACAAAGACUGAUCGAUGUUACGAGGCACUAAAGAACUCGGUAGAGAGAGAGAGAGAGAGAAAGAGACGUUCUAGAAAAACUGACUAGCAUUCGUACAUGAACGUCUGCACAGCAAUGAUAAGCGAGACGCGACGUUACGUUACGCAAAAAUCAAUUUCUUACGAAUCGAGGUCAGAUACAAACAUGUACAGGUAUAUUUGUAAUUCGUUCUUUUGUCUUUAUAAUUCUGAAUUUUUUGUGUCAAUAUUAGCUCGUUACAUCGAGGAUUAAACGAAAGUUGAAAAUAACGAAUUCCAUGACAUUGAUAAUAUUAAAACAACGUUAGGAUAGUCGUUAGGAGGUGUACGUGAUAUUAAAACAAUUGAUCUUUUUAUCUUUAAAUACGAAAAGUGUAUAUUACCUUUGUUCUUUCCACCUAACUCAAAUGUUUACCGUGGAGGGUUAAGGAAUUAUUAGUCACUAUUGUCACGCGAUUUAUCGAAGAUAUCAUUGUAUGAAAAGAACAAAUCGCGACAUUGUUGUAACUAUAUUAUUUUUAUUGCCCUUUCUUCUCCUCUUACUCCUCAUUCAUAUUGUUUAUCGUUUUUACGUAUUAUUAUCGGUGUAAAAUUUGACACAUCGCGUCAUUCCCAUGAACUACUCGGUUGAGGUUGAAACACGUUGAUGACGUCUCAAUUAUCGUUAGUUGCGCUUCAUUCUAUGUCAAACCAACGCUCACAUAUAUAUAUAUAUAUGUGUGUGUGUGUAUGUGUGCCAUUCUUUGACGCGCAACUUGAAAUAUUUACGGUUGCCAAUGUAUGUAUAAAUAUAAAAGAUAUUUCACAUACGAGUCCAUUCGAAUCAACCGGUCUCGAUAUUAAAAACUUCGUUAGUGAA
Long non-coding RNA from Bombus pyrosoma, 20814 nucleotides. RefSeq lists it as uncharacterized. NCBI's taxonomy places the organism in Eukaryota, Metazoa, Arthropoda, Insecta, Hymenoptera, Apidae. The transcript has 3 exons. The record is from RefSeq and is a predicted model, not a curated record.